UGAAAUAUUUUAAAGAUGUAGAUUUAGUUCGCGACUCAACCUAAUAUUUUGUUCGAUGAAAUUAUUUUAUGUUCAUGUUCGAGAAUUGAAGAAACAAUGUUAAUAUAUUAUAUUAUCAACCAUGUCUAUCAAGCACGCCGUCGUUCUAGUUUAUCUUAAUUAGCUAUUUCAUUUUCAACGUAAACAUUUCAAGGAACUCCAAAAGUUGCUUAUGGUUAAUUGACAAAGGGUUGGAGUAUCAAAGACCAAGAAUUACUCCCGAGAAUCAGGCCAAUAGCGAUCCAAGUUAGAAAUUUGAGGAAAUUAGUAAAAGCCAAUUCGCUAGGUGAGCCCAAAGCGAGCCAAAUCAGCGAGUUAAAAGGUGGAUUGCAAGAGUUGAUUCACUAAGCAAGCAUCGAUUCACUUUAAGGCAACAUUAGUGACAUGUUGUAUUAGUUGGAAAUUACUUCACAUUGAAGAAACCUCAGCGAGCACCUGUUCGCUUAGCAAAUCUUCCCUUUUAUGCAAAGCAUAUAAAGCAACUCAGAAACCAAAUUUGGGCAUUCUUACACUUCUGGAAGGAAACAUAGAUAAAGGCACAUAGUAGAGAAUGGUGAGCAAACAAGGUUGGGGAGGCUUGGAAGCUUGGACAUCAAGAUUUCAUGUUAUUUCAGCUCAUUCUCACUUCUUUGUACUAGAUAACAUGGGUAUCUGUAGCUAAAUUUCCUCGGUCAAAACUCUCUUAUUUGACCAGAACACCUUAAUGUCUUAGGUGAGUUUGUUCCCAUUGAAAGUUUGAUUGAACGUUAAAACUAUGCAUCAAAAUUCUAAAAUCCAAUAUUUCUAAAACUAUUAUCGAUUGAA
This is a long non-coding RNA of Medicago truncatula (barrel medic), 843 nucleotides long. RefSeq lists it as uncharacterized. The transcript has 2 exons. Lineage: Eukaryota; Viridiplantae; Streptophyta; Magnoliopsida; Fabales; Fabaceae. The record is from RefSeq and is a predicted model, not a curated record.